Molecule: ribosomal RNA, 253 nt
Filed under: uncultured bacterium
Lineage: Bacteria
Description: partial 16S ribosomal RNA
Rfam family: Bacterial small subunit ribosomal RNA
Source: RNAcentral
UACAGAGGGGGCGAGCGUUGGUCGGAAUUACUGGGCGUAAAGGGCGCGCAGGCGGCUCGACAAGUCAGAUGUGAAAGCCCCGGGCUCAACCUGGGAACGGCAUUUGGGACUGUCGGGCUAGAGUUCGGGAGAGGUGGGUGGAAUUCCCAGUGUAGAGGUGAAAUUCGUAGAUAUUGGGAAGAACACCGGUGGCGAAGGCGGCUCACUGGACCGAGACUGACGCUGAGGCGCGAAAGCGUGGGGAGCAAACAGG